AACGAACGCUGGCGGCAUGCCUAACACAUGCAAGUCGAACGAGACCUUCGGGUCUAGUGGCGCACGGGUGCGUAACGCGUGGGAACCUGCCCUUAUGUUCGGAAUAACUCCCCGAAAGGGGUGCUAAUACCGGAUAAUGUCUACGGACCAAAGAUUUAUCGCCUUUGGAUGGGCCCGCGUUGGAUUAGCUAGUUGGUAGGGUAAAAGCAUACCAAGGCGACGAUCCAUAGCUGGUCUGAGAGGAUGAUCAGCCACACUGGGACUGAGACACGGCCCAGACUCCUACGGGAGGCAGCAGUGGGGAAUAUUGGACAAUGGGCGAAAGGCUGAUCCAGCAAUGCCGCGUGAGUGAUGAAGGCCUUAGGGUUGUAAAGCUCUUUUACCCGGGAUGAUAAUGACAGUACCGGGAGAAUAAGCUCCGGCUAACUCCGUG
Molecule: ribosomal RNA, 433 nt
Filed under: uncultured bacterium
Lineage: Bacteria
Description: partial 16S ribosomal RNA
Rfam family: Bacterial small subunit ribosomal RNA
Source: RNAcentral